AGUGCAAUUCUUUUCAAAUUUGUUGUACUUUCUUGUAACUAAGAUAUUAAGAGGUAUAUAAAAUUUUCAACAAGAUCAACGGUUUAAUCUUAAGAUAUUGAAGUUCUAAACUACCUUAAGAUUUGAUUUAGGAUUUAGGAUUUGAUUAGGAUUUGAUUAGGAUUUGAUUAGGAUUUAGUUAAGAUUUGAUUUAGGAGUAGAAUUUAAUUAGAAUUUGAUUUAGGAUUUAGGAUUUUAUUAGGGUUUGAUUUAAGAUUUAGGAUUUGAUUAGGAUUUUAUUUAAGAUUUAAAAUUUGGUUAGGAUUUGAUUUAGGAUUUAAGAUUUCAUUAAGAUUUGGCUUAGGAUUUAAGAUUUGUUUAAGAUUUGAUUUAUGAUUUAGGAUUUGGUUUAAGAUUUAAAGUUUAGAAUUUAGGAUUUGAUUAGAAUUUAAUUAGGAUUUGAAAUUUAUUUAGGAUUUUGUUAGGAUUUAAUUUAAAAUUUAGGAUUUUAUUAGGAUUUGAUUAGGGUUUGAUUUAAGAUUUCGGAUUUGAUUAGGAUUUGAUUUAGGAUCUAGAAUUUGGUUAAGAUUUGAUUAGGAUUUGAUUUAAGAUUUAGGAUUUAGGAUUUAGGAUUUGGUUAUGGUUUGGUUUAGAGUUUAAGAUUUGUCUAGGAUUUGAUUUAAGAUUUAGGAUUUAGUUAGGAUUUGGCUUAAGAUUUGAUUGAAUUCCAUUAGACCUUUAAUUAGGAUUAAAUUAGGAUUUUAUUGAAAUUUAUUUAAGAUAUAUUUGUGAUUAUUCUAAGAUUUUUUUACGAUUUCUUAAGGAUUCUUCUAAGGUUUAUUGUGGAUUUUUUGAACUCCUUUAAGAAUUCUUAUUGUUUCAUUUAUAAUUUCUUUAAGGUUCUUUUGAAUUUGAUUAAAGCUUGCUUAGUAUUGUUAUGGUUUAAUUAGAGUUAAUUUAAUAUUCUAUUAGAGUUAUGAUUUUAUUAUUAUAAUUUCUAUUCUAUCUUUUACAGCUAGGUACCUAGUGCAUUCUCAAGCAAGACUUCUUGUAUUACGACAAUGUAUCAUACAAAUUAAUAGCUUGUGGUAUAAGCUUAAAAUGUGAUGCACUUAUAAGAAA
Molecule: long non-coding RNA, 1101 nt
Filed under: Physcomitrium patens
Lineage: Eukaryota; Viridiplantae; Streptophyta; Bryopsida; Funariales; Funariaceae
Description: long non-coding RNA (PPAT_LNC000714)
Source: RNAcentral